GACGAACGAGGGCGGCGUGCAUAAUACAUGCAAGUAGAACGCUGACUACUUUAGCUUGCUAGAGUAGAAGGAGUUGCGAACGGGUGAGUAACGCGUAGGUAACCUGCAUACUAGCGGGGGAUAACUAUUGGAAACGAUAGCUAAUACCGCAUAACAGUGUUUAACACAUGUUAGAUGCUUGAAAGAUGCAAAUGCAUCACUAGUAGAUGGACCUGCGUUGUAUUAGCUAGUUGGUGGGGUAACGGCCUACCAAGGCGACGAUACAUAGCCGACCUGAGAGGGUGAUCGGCCACACUGGGACUGAGACACGGCCCAGACUCCUACGGGAGGCAGCAGUAGGGAAUCUUCGGCAAUGGGGGCAACCCUGACCGAGCAACGCCGCGUGAGUGAAGAAGGUUUUCGGAUCGUAAAGCUCUGUUGUAAGAGAAGAACGUGUGUGAGAGUGGAAAGUUCACACAGUGACGGUAACUUACCAGAAAGGGACGGCUAACUACGUGCCAGCAGCCGCGGUAAUACGUAGGUCCCGAGCGUUGUCCGGAUUUAUUGGGCGUAAAGCGAGCGCAGGCGGUUUAAUAAGUCUGAAGUUAAAGGCAGUGGCUUAACCAUUGUUCGCUUUGGAAACUGUUAAACUUGAGUGCAGAAGGGGAGAGUGGAAUUCCAUGUGUAGCGGUGAAAUGCGUAGAUAUAUGGAGGAACACCGGUGGCGAAAGCGGCUCUCUGGUCUGUAACUGACGCUGAGGCUCGAAAGCGUGGGGAGCAAACAGG
Molecule: ribosomal RNA, 765 nt
Filed under: uncultured Streptococcus sp.
Lineage: Bacteria; Bacillati; Bacillota; Bacilli; Lactobacillales; Streptococcaceae
Description: bacterial SSU rRNA
Rfam family: Bacterial small subunit ribosomal RNA
Source: RNAcentral